Molecule: long non-coding RNA, 747 nt
Filed under: Phoenix dactylifera (date palm)
Lineage: Eukaryota; Viridiplantae; Streptophyta; Magnoliopsida; Arecales; Arecaceae
Description: long non-coding RNA (PDAC_LNC018676)
Source: RNAcentral
UACGGUGGCGGGCCGGCCAAUGCGACUGGAUGAUGUUUCCGACUAGCUCCGGUGGGCAGGGUAUGCACAGAUAAAGGUUAAGAUCGACGCCCUCGGUCCAUGGCUUAGAUUAAAUCAACAGCACAAAUAUUAUAGCCCGAUUUGGGUUCUAAGCGGGUUGCGCUAAUAUGGCCAUGUGUAGGUAUCUUUCAUGUGCUUUUUAGAGAAUCGCCCAUUUUCAUAAUCGCGGCCUCACGACUGCAUAUAUAGGUGAGUCCUAAUAAGGAAACUAGCAAGAAAACUCUUGCCUCUUGGGUCUUGGACUCAUUAAGAGUUAUACAAACAAAUUCAUCCUACCGCUUACUUUUAUGAGCACUAGCGCUAUAGGGAUGAGAAAAACAUAAAAUAGUGCUUCUCUUAGUCACACUCCAGUUUGUUUCUACCCAUUGAACCUUUUAAGGUUGGGUUCCCACCGUGGUGAUCUAUCUUUAUGGGCUAAGCCUCAUCCCCCUCGACGAUACUAGAACUACUGUUUUAGACAAACUUUUUGUAAGCUGAUCAGCCAAAUUAUUUUCUGAUUUUGCAAAAUUUAAAGCAAUAACGUUAUUUUUCAAUUUGUAUCUUAAUGAUUUAUGACGCAUUUUUUAAGUGUCUUUUCAUUUUUAUAUUGGCAUUUUCUUGGUUGCACUUAUCUAUUACAGAUUUACAGUCACAAUGUAAGAAGACAGGUUGUGAGGAUCCGUACGGGCGUGUGUUUAGUCCCACAUC